CGCAUCUGUGCAUGCAGCAUAUCAAUAAGCGGAGGAAAAGAAACUAACAAGGAUUCCCCUAGUAACGGCGAGUGAAGCGGGAAGAGCUCAAAUUUGAAAUCUUAAAGGGUUUCCCUUUACGAAUUGUAGUUUAAAGAAGUGUUUUCUGUUGAGGUUUUGGUAAAAGUUCUUUGGAAUAGGACAUCAUAGAGGGUGAGAAUCCCGUAUUUGACCUUUACUUUCAACUUUGUGAUACACUUUCAAAGAGUCGGAUUGUUUGGGAAUGCAGUCCAAAAUGGGUGGUAAAUUUCAUCUAAAGCUAAAUAUUGGCGAGAGACCGAUAGCGAACAAGUACCGUGAGGGAAAGAUGAAAAGAACUUUGAAAAGAGAGUUAAACAGUACGUGUAAUUGUCAAAAGGGAAGCGUUUGACACCAGUGUUGUUUUUCUGAAAAUCAAUUAAAGAACUGUUUAUGCUAAGCUGUUUAGACUUUAUCAGCUAAUCUGUUUAGUUUUGAGCUUUUCUUUAAUGCACUUUUCAGUUAACAAGUCAACAUCAAUUUCUUUUGCUGUAAAAAAGCUUGAGGAAGGUGGCUUGAGAUUCGUCUUAAGUGUUUAUAGCCUCUUGCCUAUGCAGUCGGAGAGAUUGAGGUCUGCAGCGUAGAUCCUUCGGGGCUAAAUGCAUUUGUGCUAAGUUAUAACAUUUCAUAGACAACUUGUUGACUAUGAUUUGUCUUGUAGCUUACUCGCUUAUGUUAUUUUACCUACGCUUAGGAUGUUGACAGCAGUAUAGACUGU
Molecule: ribosomal RNA, 775 nt
Filed under: uncultured Neocallimastigales
Lineage: Eukaryota; Fungi; Neocallimastigomycota; Neocallimastigomycetes; Neocallimastigales
Description: partial large subunit ribosomal RNA
Rfam family: Eukaryotic large subunit ribosomal RNA
Source: RNAcentral